Molecule: long non-coding RNA, 962 nt
Filed under: Homo sapiens (human)
Lineage: Eukaryota; Metazoa; Chordata; Mammalia; Primates; Hominidae
Description: HSALNT0384799
Source: RNAcentral
GUAUUCAUUUUAUUUUUAUAUUAUUUAUUUAUUCUUCCUUAGUUUCUUGAGAUUAUCAUCCGCUGAGGGUGGAAGGGGAGUGAGCAGACACACUCAGGAGGUGUCUUGAGAUUAUCAUCCGCUGAGGGUGGAGCUGAGGGUGGAAGGGGAGUGAGCAGACACUCGGGAGGUGUCUUGAGAUUAUCAUCCGCUGAGGGUAGAGCUGAGGGUGGAAGGGGAGUGAGCAGACACUCGGGAGGUGUCUUGAGGCUCAGGGAGUUAUCAAUUAUAGAAUGUUGUUGAGUUGGAGGAGGUGGCUGGUGGCCCAUCCUGUUUUUUAAAGUUUCAGCUGUGAGGGCCAGUAGGGCAAUCCUGAAGAAUGACGAUGCUCCACUGCCGCCAUUCUGACCUGUAGGGCCAAAGGAGGGAAUGUUUUCACACAUAUUCAUUUGAUGGACAAAAUUACCGCCACCAACACAGUCUGCACCUUCUGUUGCUGGUGAUAGAUUUUUGCACCUUUCCAUCCUCCAGGUUUCAAAAUAGCAGUGUCAGUGUCAUAAUAUCACCCUUCCACUGAGUACUGCCGACAGCUAGGGGGUAAAGAAAAGUCAUUGGGACACACUGUUGUCUCCACAUGCCACUGUGUCUGUCUGCAAAUGUAGGCAGGCUGGGGUCCUGCCCCAGGGAAGACAGAGUCAUAACAGAGUAAUAAAGAAGCAUGUUUGAGACACAGGAGUGUCUAUGUCUAUCCUCAUUCCUCCCUCACAGCCAUCACCAGAGCAUGUUUCUUGCACCAGGUCAAUAGACAGUAAGAGACAGUAAGAGAGGCAUGAAAAGCCCAUUGUCCACACAUGUUGCAGCUUCUUUUUGGAGAAUGUUUUCCAGGCCUUUUAUGUUCUGUCUCUGAUUCUCAGAACUCUGCAAGGUCAGUGUGACCACCCUGCUCCAAAUCUAAGAAAACAGAGGUUUCCAGAGGAAGGAGA